Molecule: long non-coding RNA, 1329 nt
Filed under: Anthonomus grandis grandis
Lineage: Eukaryota; Metazoa; Arthropoda; Insecta; Coleoptera; Curculionidae
Description: uncharacterized LOC126747412
Source: RNAcentral
UAAGCCACUGAUAGGGGUUUCUAUAGCUAUUUUCGGGUUUAAAGAAAAUCGAUUUUUCGCAUUUUCAAAGUGCUAUAAUUCCCUUAGUUUUUGUCGAAACUCAUUAUAACCCGGUGUUUUCGUGUUGUAGGUGAUGGGAAAAAGCCGCUGGUAUAGUUAGUUCAAAUACGAAAAAAAUCAAUUUUUCGUGAAAAAUUCGAUACGGGGGGGUAUACCCAAAAAAUGAAAAAUCCCAAACUUUGGAGGUCGAUAUCUCGGCUUCUAUAGGCACUAUCUGGAAAAUUCCAACGGUUUUGUCUUAAUUUCGUCCUUCUGAAUCCAACGAGACCAUUCACAAGUUCGUAGGUCUCAUAUUAGCUGAGAUCUCGCAUUUUUAGGGCCCAUUUUUAGGCUCAAAAACGAGGUCAGAAAGUGACCAAUUUCCGAAUUUUCAAAGUGCUAUAAUUCCACUUGUUUCGGUCGAAUUCCGUUAUAACCCGGUGUUUUCGUGAUGUAGGUGAUGGGAAUAAGCCACUGAUAGGGGUUUCUAUAGCUAUUUUCGGGUUUAAAGAAAAUCGAUUUUUCGCAUUUUCAAAGUGCUAUAAUUCCCUUAGUUUUUCUCGAAACUCAUUAUAACCCGGUGUUUUCGUGUUGUAGGUGAUGGGAAAAAGCCGCUGGUAUAGUUAGUUCAAAUACGAAAAAAAUCAAUUUUUCGUGAAAAAUUCGAUACGGGGGGGUAUACCCGAAAAAUGAAAAAUCCCAAACUUUGGAGGUCGAUAUCUCGGCUUCUAUAGGCACUAUCUGGAAAAUUCCAACGGUUUUGUCUUAGUUUCGUCCUUCUGAAUCCAACGAGACCAUCCGCAAGUUCGUAGGUCUUAUAUUAGCUGAGAUCUCGCAUUUUUAGGGCCCAUUUUUGGGCUCAAAAACGGGGUCAAAAAUUGACUUUUUUCCGAAUUUUCAAAGUGCUAUAAUUCCACUUGUUUCGGUCGAAUUCCGUUAUAACCCGGUGUUUUCGUGAUGUAGGUGAUGGGAAUAAGCCACUGAUAGGGGUUUCUAUAGCUAUUUUCGGGUUUAAAGAAAAUCGAUUUUUCGCAUUUUCAAAGUGCUAUAAUUCCCUUAGUUUUUCUCGAAACUCAUUAUAACCCGGUGUUUUCGUGUUGUAGGUGAUGGGAAAAAGCCGCUGGUAUAGUUAGUUCAAAUACGAAAAAAAUCAAUUUUUCGUGAAAAAUUCGAUACGGGGGGGUAUACCCGAAAAAUGAAAAAUCCCAAACUUUGGAGGUCGAUAUCUCGGCUUCUAUAGGCACUAUCUGGAAAAUUCCAACGGUUUUGUCUUAGUUUCGUCCUUCUGAA